AGAGCGAACGCUGGCGGCAGGCCUAACACAUGCAAGUCGAGCGGCCGUAGCAAUACGGCAGCGGCAGACGGGAGAGUAACACGUGGGAACGCGCCUUUCGGUUCGGAAUAACUCAGGGAAACUUGGGCUAAUACCGGAUACGCCCUUACGGGGAAAGAUUUAUUGCCGAAGGAACGGCCCGCGUCCGAUUAGCUUGUUGGUGAGGUAACGGCUCACCAAGGCGACGAUCGGUAGCUGGUCUGAGAGGACGAUCAGCCACACUGGAACUGAGACACGGUCCAGACACCUACGGGUGGCAGCAGUCGAGAAUUUUCUCAAUGGGGGAAACCCUGAAGGAGCGACGCCGCGUGGAGGAUGAAGGUCUUCGGGUUGUAAACUCCUGUCAUUUGGGAACAAUGCGCAAAUAUUAACUGUAUUUGCGUUGAUAGUACCAGAAGAGGAAGGACGGCUAACGUCUAGUGCCAGCAGCCGC
RNAcentral lists this ribosomal RNA (472 nucleotides) under uncultured bacterium. RNAcentral describes it as "SSU rRNA". It matches the Rfam family "Bacterial small subunit ribosomal RNA", at positions 26 to 518 of the family's 1533-position model. The record is from RNAcentral.